Molecule: long non-coding RNA, 2167 nt
Organism: Daphnia carinata
Lineage: Eukaryota; Metazoa; Arthropoda; Branchiopoda; Diplostraca; Daphniidae
Exons: 9
Source: RefSeq, a predicted model, not a curated record
CAACGUAGCCACUCCAUCUACGCAUUUCCAGUAUUUGUCACAGGAAAUGUCGUGAGCGAAGAAGCCGUUUUCCUUCGGGCAAACAAACGCAUCGCUGCGAAUGUUCUGGGCCGAAGCUGUCGUGAUCGAAAGGAAAUCCAGGUGAAAGCUGGCGAGACUGGAGAAAGUUGUUAUCUCGAAUUAAAUCAAGCCACGAUAAGAAAGAAGAAACGGGUUCCUCUACCCUUCAUCGAAGGAUAUCCAAGAGCUCAGACGUCAUCGUGGUCCGUACAAGUGAAAGCUCAUCGGUGCAUGUUGCACGUGCCUGCGAUAAUCAUCACCCGACAACAUAAAAAGUACAAACGAAGCAAAGAGAAAUGGCGUGAAACGAAAUGUAACACUUGGUUUCCCAAUGCGUUCCAAUAUCUUUGUUGGCACCUGGAACCUUCUAAAGGCCAAAAAAGUGAAAGGACAGGAAACCGCAGAACAUUCAACCCGACGCGUGUAUGAUUCGAUUGUUCAUUGAUUUUUAUUGUGUCGUACGAAAUUGCCGUACUGUACCGAUCUGGGCUCGACGAACUCUCCAACAAUCAGGUAAUGAAAUGGCAAUUUGUUAUGUCAGUUUGAUUUUCUUCUUGUGUCACAGGCACGAUUUGAAGAAAGAAAAAAAAACUAGCCAUUUUAAGUUAACAGCCGUCGUGGCUUGGAAAUCGAAACAAUAUCCCCAACUAUGUGGUCGUGACUUGAGGAAAAAAAAAGGAGAAAGAAUUUGAAUAAAAAUUAAUAAUAAAGUGAUGGAUUGGGAAAUCACCGAAAGAAAGCUUGACCAGUGCUGGUGUGUGUGUGUGGUAAGUUUACUUGCUUGACCCGUCGGUCUCUUUUCUCUCCCAUUUCUUUUGGUUUCGUGAUUGGAGCAGCAUAAGAAGUGCCUGCGUUCACCAGAAAUGGAAAUCGUUUCACGACGGGGGGAAGGAGAGCUCUGUAGAGAGAGGGAGAGUGAACAAAAUAAAAAGGAAGUUAAAGAAAAGGGACGUGUACAGUCAUAUUGCCAGAAGGAAAUCAUGCACCAGAAAAACGCAAAAAAACAUUUCUCGGAAAAAAAGAGAUUUCUCCGUUGAGCCAAUUUCGCCCAUUUGACAGUUGCUGCAUGUCAACACAAUCGUUUCGAUUUCCAUUGUCUCCGUGAUUUACGUGUUUGUGCUCACUGACAUCAGGUAAACAGACCUGAGAAAUUUAAAAAGAUGUAUCACUUUCUCCUUGAAAAAUACACAGGUACAAAACUUGCCUAUUCCAAACAUAUUGUAAAUGGCAAUUUGUGCUGGAACGUAAAUUCUGUUGCUAUAUGGAGGUCUAGAGGUAAAAGCUCAAAGUUAAUAUGCUUAAAAAGAAAAUAACCAACAACAAAAAGAGAAACUUUUACUAAAUGGUGGGUUUGUCUCUUACCCUCGAGCCAAACUUUUAGAAAAGAAUUUCGACAAAAAAAAACCCAAACUAUUCCUGUAAUUUUAUUUCACUUUUCUCAAGGUGAUUUUCCAGCUGUUGUCGGUUGUUUCGUCUUCGGUGUUCCGGUCAAGGACCAACAACAAAAAAAAAGGUAAAUCAAAGUGUUUUCGAGUUGGGGGGAGAGUCGAGGUGAAAACUGUCUGCUGUUAAACCACGUGGGAAUAGACCCAUCAUUUGGCUUUAUAGCAGAUAAAGUGUCAUGGUGUUAUCUCUUUGUAACAACGUGAAAAGAAGACGAGGUUAAAAUAAAAACAACCUUAUUUUAAGGAAGGAGAGGAGUGAACGAAUCUUUAUGCUUAGAGCUCGAAGCGCUGGCUAAAACUGCGGCGCUGAGGCUCUGGCGUCAAAUGGCGUGGCAGAACGUAGCCGGAGGAGAAUGGAUUGACAUUCUCACCCAUAUGCCGAGGCUGCAGGACGGGUGAAGCGGGGACCGAGGCUGAUCCUGCUCCUCCGCCACUUGCGUAACCAUUGCCUCCACCGCUCCCGGAUGAUUGAGACAACCGGCGAGCGGGUGGCUGCGGUGGAGGAUGUUGCGGAGGCGAAGUGAUAAGCCUUCGGAAGAAAUGCGACGGCCGAAUAACGAGGAGGAAGGCGCUGACCGUUGAUCGGAGCUGGACUGGUGAUGUCCGUUGUUUCGUCCGUGAGACUGGUCGGAACUGGAACUGGGCUUCAACAAGCGAGAAAA